CCCCAGGGCCCUGCACAUGAUGAUAUGUGCUUUGUUUUAGGAAACUGCUGAAAGGGCGGGCCUACGCCAGCCGACUCCAUCUUGUUCUGUGUCCUCCACCUUGAGUGACUGUGUCCCCGACAUGACCCCUUUUCCGGGAAAAUCGCAGAAACCUCAGACCACGCCUCCUCCCCUUGAGUAACCUCCCGCUCACCCGUUCAAACUUCCCGAUCAAAACACGCCCAGCGACUCGCUUAACAGGACUCCGACCCUUCCCCAGCCAAUCGGCCGAGGCCACGACCCUUCCCCAGCCAAUCGGCUGAGGCCACAGCCAUUACCUCACCAACUGCCCCUAGACCCCUGUAAAACCUUUGUGCUUUUGAAACUCCCCGGCUCUCUCUGGCGUCUCACCGCUGCAUCGGUGCAGUAACUGUUUUGGCUCCAUGUCUGAAGUAGGAAUCAGUCGCUAACGUUUUGCAGACUAACGUUCCCAUGAAGCCACAAAGCUGCCCUCAGAUGUGACGGGAUGGGGCACAAACCCGUCUCUGCCAGAUUACAAGCACCAUGCACUUCUUACUUGCCCAGGGUAGCAAAUGCCUUUGAACCACACUCCUUCCGCCUGGAAAGAACAGUGGAGAUGUGACAACCAUCUGAUGAUUUCGAUCUGGAUAAACAGCUCCAAAGGGACAGGGCUGAAACAGCGGUUCUCAAAAUGUGGUCCCUGGACCGAAGGCACCAUCACCAUCACCUGA
This 731-nucleotide long non-coding RNA is filed under the name Felis catus (domestic cat). Its description in RNAcentral is "lncRNA (ENSFCAG00000053694.1)". Lineage: Eukaryota; Metazoa; Chordata; Mammalia; Carnivora; Felidae. The record is from RNAcentral.